CCUGGGAAUACUCGGUUUAUCACCGACAUUUCCUCUUCAGAGUAAUCUACCAUGAAAUACGCUGGAUUCCACUCGUUGUUCCAACCUCUUAUAACUUGAAGAGCCUCCGCAAUAGCGUACGAUGUUUCACUUUGCAGGACAAAAGAACCAACCACUUGAUAGCUUACAUUGGUUUCUACCACAAGAAAAAACAAAGCGAGGCUGUAUUUUGUCGUUUUGUAAGUGGCAUCUAGAAGGUAAUCAAAGACUCUGCUGAAUAUUUAGCAAGCGGGCGAAAGAAGAAAGACUCGUCGGGACACCUCAGUUUCCAGUCUUCGAUUUUCUUUUGAAGAUUUUCUUGGUCAAAUUUUGAAAAUCUUUCUUUGAUGACUGCCUUGUAAAUGUGGCUGCGUAUAGUUUGUUUGGAAGGAUAAAAUCUCCGAUUGGUUUUAGCGGGUGCCUUUGUUGCUUUGUACAGGUCUUGCUCCACGUAGAUUUUAAGAUGCCUCCUAACUUCUUUAACUGAGCAAGCCCCAGCAACAACCAAUUCUUGGAUCUUGGAGACAAGCAUCUUAUCAAUUCCUUGAUGAAGACCUCCAGCCUACAUAUAAAGGAGCCGAUUAUAAAACGUAAGGUUUAAAAACAAUAUAGCAAGACAUUGACUUGCACCGUACGACAACUAGGACUAAAUAUAUCCUUACGCUUCCUAUAGGGUGAGUUUUGUGCUCAGAUAGGCAAGGCAACUGGAUAUCGAUCCACCUUUCUCCAUUGGCAUUUCCACCUUUUUGUAAGCAUUCCCUAAGUUUUUUCGACAUCGAUUUUUGUCGCCAAACCGUUUGCUCUUUAAUCUAAAGGCGCGUAAAUUUAUCAAAAAACCUGUGUGAGUAAAGUUUCAAGGCAAAUUGAUUUGGACACCUCGAGACAUUUUUGUUGUUUACACCUGACAGAUCGAGUAAUGCAUACGAAUAAUCGCUGUUAUUUAAAAUUACCCUAAAGUCUGGAAAUCUGAUGUAUUCUCUCAUGUGAACUUGUGCUGAACAGUUCAAUUUUCUUGUUCCUUGAACCAUGUUUCUGUGCUUCUUAAACGAGUGGUCGCUAGAAUUUGACUAAAAUAUAUAAACAUGUUGGUAAAUAAUUACACCUAAAAGGAAAGGUAGCUGAAGAAAUUCAUGAAGAAGAAAGAAACCAAGAUUACAUGACAAUGUUAAAAUACAAUAAAACUCAAAGUUUCCUUCAAAGCUCUUCACACUUGAAGUUUAAUUGCAACGUACUAUAAGGUUGGCAACGUCGUUUCACUUUUAUUUACUUUUAUUAAAUCUGUAGUAUUGCAUUAGCAGAUGAAUAAUAUCUAUUACCGUUCUGUUUUUCUUCUUUUGGCUUGAAUACCUAUCUACCCCAUGACGACAAUCGUAGACCCUAUGGUUCACUUGAACGAACGGUAUAUUGUCAAAUGGAAGCUGGCCAUCUUCCCACCAAACCUUGUGAUUGGCACUUGUGAGAUUUAACUUUUUUUCGAUUAAAAAUAGAAUAAGUGAUUUCAUUUAGUUCAAAUUGAACCAUUAUAUUCAACAUUGCUGUGUGA
Molecule: long non-coding RNA, 1561 nt
Organism: Xenia sp. Carnegie-2017
Lineage: Eukaryota; Metazoa; Cnidaria; Anthozoa; Malacalcyonacea; Xeniidae
Exons: 2
Source: RefSeq, a predicted model, not a curated record